GGUUAAGAAACCGAUCAUAGAAGGGAAAAACUUCUUGAUAGAUUCUUUCACUUCAUCAGCUUUAUAUAGUAUUUCAGAGAUGAAAUUAGAAGACCCACUAGAGCGAGUUUUGGUCUCUUCUGAUAAGUGUGUAUUUUGCAUGUUUUGAGCAUCCAUUUGUCAUCACUAUAGCACCAUAUCAUCAUUGUUUUAUACCAUUUCUCAUCAUUUGUCAUCUCUUUGUAUAUUUAGGAUAGGUUUGCAUGCAUGUUGCACAUUUGUGUUGAUUUCAAGUGAUUUGGAGCUGUUGACGAGCUAAUUGGAAGAAGCGGACCUGAUCAUGUCAAACCACUCGACCCUGAGGUCGAGUAGAAGCUUCAAGACCUCAACAGACCAUUCGACCACCAGGUCGAGUAGAAGACAGCACCACUUCACCUCACCACUCGACCGCCUGGCCGAGUACCAUCAGGAGAGACACUCGACCACAUCACUCGACCCCGAGGUCGAAUGUCUUCAUCUCCACCACCUGACAAUCACUCGACCACAUCACUCGACCCCGAGGCCGAGUGUCUUCACCUCCAUUACCAGAUCACCACUCGAUCACACCACUCUACCUGGAAGUCGAGUAUCACCAUCACCACCACUCGACUACAUACUCGAUUGCGAGCUUCAGAGUCUUUUUCAUUCCGCACUCAACCAGACACUCGAGCACAAGGAAGAAAAGAAGACUUCAGCUAUUCGCUCGACCUCUAACUCGACCACCUAGGUCGAGUAUAGUUCUUAAUCCGUCCCAAUACUGCGUUGUUUUGAGUAUUAGGGUUUCAGAAUAUUUUGUUAUAAGUAGCAUGUACUUUACAUUUUUGAGAACAAGUUUUUAUCUAGUUUUAUUCCGCAGACACUGUGUUCUAGACCUUUUGUAAUCCGGAUUUCUCUUUAUCUAUUCAGUAUUCAGUAUUUGUUCUUAAUUUCGUUUUACUGUUGUUCAUCCUGUUACCAUCUUGCUAUUACUCUAUUGUUAUCAUGUCUUCAUUCCAUUCAACGUUUAUGCUUUCUGCUAUGAUGUCUGAGUAGUGAAUAGGUUUCUGAGGAUGGGUUAGAGUAGUGUAGAAUUCUCAGUAUGCUAGGUGGUUGAGUUUGAUUGAUAGAUCCCUUCUGGAUUAGUUGUUCUUAAUGCCUAUUGCUUUCUGAUCAACUGGAAUUUGAGCCCAGACAUUUCUGCGCCCAAAAGGUGUUCGAUGAAAUGUCUGAACCACUAAUUCUAGAGAUUCGUGGCCCUGUACCAAGGUAUUGGUUGCAGGGAGCGUAUUGGCUUUAACUUGUUGAUUCGUAAUGCCUGUUAGGUUAGCUCUCGUCAAUGGUGAUUGACUCUGGGACUAGGUUAACUUGAGGGUCUCUGUUGCGGUGGCACUUAGAUUUGGUUAAUGAACUUGUUGUCUAGGGAUAAUUUAUUGAGCUUGUCAAUCACCUGUAAACUGAGGAAACGAAACUACUCAAUUACCCCAUCCUCAGGAAUUCUUUAUCUAAUUGAAUUCUUUGUUUACUCUACUGUUGUUUACUGCAUCUUGUCAUCUGCUGCUUAAUUUCUGCAAUUCUUUCUUGUUACUCGACCUCAUACUCGACCACCCAGUUGUCUGGCAACAGACUGUGCAGUCGAGUAUCUGUGUUAUACUUUCUGUCUGUUACUCGACCUGUCCCUCGACCUCACCCAGUGCUCUGUAAAGAGCUGUGUUGGUCGAGUGUUUUGCUGUUUUUGCUUGAAUUUCUGUUGUUAGCAUCACACCCAUUUGGAUUGACAACCUAAAAUACUACAACGACAUGAUUGGUGUUUUAGGAUAAUUGAUCUUAAAAACCUAUUAUCAAUUUGGCGCCGUUACCAAUUGGGUGUUUGUUUGUUACAUUUGAGAUUUCAGACUUGCUUAGAUCAAGUUCUUUUUCAAUUUUCUUUUCGGUUACUAACUGUGUGUUUUUCUUGUUGUCUUCUUGAUCCAGGUACACCUCUGCUGUAUGCAAACUCGAUCAACAGGCAAUCAGAACCUCCUUUUCAACGACAACAUCGACUGAAUAGCUCGCGAACUCAGAGAAAGGAGAAACACAGUCAACCUUGUACCUCAACAACCACUUGAAAUGGGUGACGAACAGAAUUAAAAAAAUGGCCCUGCCAACAUUGGUUCUGGAGAUGCACCACGUGAUCACUUUAUAGAGGAAAGGAAUUGCACCUCCUGCUAUCCAGAACAACAACUUUGAGAUUAAGAGUGGUCUCAUCUCGAUGAUUCAGGGGAACAAAUUCCAUGGUCUACCAAUGGAGGAUCCACUCGACCACCUUGAUGAAUUCGAUAGGCUGUGCAACCUAACAUGGGAGCGUUUCAAGGGUUACACCAACCAAUGCCCUCAUCAUGGCUUCACUAAAGCCUCUCUGCUCAGCACUCUUUAUAGAGGCGUUUUACCACGCAUCAGAAUGCUUCUGGAUACCGCCAGCAAUGGGAAUUUCCAGAACAAUGAUGUUGAAGAAGGCUGAGAAUUGGUUGAGAACCUAGCUCAAUCAGAUGGUAAUUACAACGAAGACUGCGAUAGGACCGUUAGAGGCACAGCUGACUCUGAUGACAAACACAGGAAGGAGAUCAAAGCGCUGAAUGACAAGCUGGAUAGGAUUCUUCUUAGCCAGCAGAAGCAUGUGCACUUCCUUGUUGAUGACGAGCAGUUUCAAGUCCAAGAUGGGGAGGGUAACCAGUUGGAAGAAGUCUGCUACAACAAUAACAACCAAGGUGGCUACAAAGGAUACAACAACUUCAAAACCAAAAAUCCUAAGCUCUCCUACCCCAACACCAACGUUGCUAAUCCUCAGGAUCAUGUGUAUCCUCCACAGCAACAACAAGGUCAGAACAAACCUUUUGUUCCUUACAACCACGGUUUCGUUCCCAAACAGCAAUUUUUGGGGAACUACCAGCAACAACCACCACCUGGGUUUGCACCUCCGCAAAACAAAGGUCCUGCUGCUCCUGAUGCUGAAAUGAAACAUAUGGUACAACAGCUGCUACAGGGACACGCAUCUAGCUCCAUGGAAAUUGCUAAGAAAUUAUCUGAAUUGCACUAUAAGCUGUACUGCAGCUACAAUGACCUGAAUGCCAAAGUGGAGGCAUUAAAUACCAAAGUCAAUACUUAGAAGGCCAAUCAGCAUCUACCUCUGCACCUAAAGUUACAGGACUUCCUGGGAAGUCAAUACAGAAUCCGAAGGAGUAUGAAACUUCUCACGCCAUCACCAUCUGCCAUGAUCGAGAGCUGCCAACUCGACCUGUCCCUUAUUUAAUCAAUGGGGACAAUGAUGUUCAAGAAGGGGAGGCUUCUACUCAGAUUGAAGUCUCCGUUGUUGAACUCAACCAUUCUGCCAGUUCUCGCCAUCUCAUUCAAUCCACCUCGGAAGAGAAGGCCGCCAUAAUCGAGAAAAUGGUGAAACGAUUCAAACCUACUCCACUACCCUCACGUGCUCUUCCGUGGACAUUCAGGAAAGCGUGGAUGGAGAGAUACAAGUCUGUUGCAUCGAAGCACCUGGACGAGAUUAAAGCAGUGAUGCCACUGAUGGAAGUUCUCAACCUAAUUCCUGAUCCUCACAAAGAUGAGAGAAAUUUGAUACUGGAAAGGAUCAAGAUGUAUCACGAUUCAGAUGAUGAAAGUGAUGUCACUCCAUCUCGAGCUGCUGAUAAGAGGAUUGUUCAAGAGAAGUUAGAAGAUCCUGGAUCUUUCACUCUACCAUGUUCCAUUGGGGAAUUAGCUUUCAGCGAUUGUCUGUGCGAUCUAGGAGCUUUGUAAGCUUAAUGCCACUCUCUGUGGCAAGAAGGUUAGAGUUUAUUUAGUAUAAACCUUGCGACCUGACUUUGAUCCUUGCGGAUACGUCUUCCAGAAAAACCUUUGGCAUGCUGAAAGAUCUACCAGUCAUGAUUAAUGGAGUAGAAGGGCCUACAAACUUCGUGGUACUGGAUAUGGAAGUAGAGCAUAAGGAUCCCUUAAUACUGGGAAGACCCUUCUUAGCUUCAGUGGGAGCAGUGAUAGAUGUCAGCGAAGGGAAAAUAAGUCUCAACCUUGGAGAGCACAUCAAGUUGCAGUUUGGCAUCAACAAAACUCCACAAGGGUCAACAGAAGAUGGAAGAACCUCUGGAAAUGAUAGAGCGAUCUCAGGAGAAGGAUAUGAGACUAAAAGAGUGAAAGAACUUAAAAAGAGGUCUGAUAAGCAAGAUGAAACUAUAGAGAAGCUAGCCCACACUGUUGAGGAACUUAGAAGUAAGCUGAAUCAGUUGCAGAAGGAAGCUCAACCUAAAGGCAGGACUGACACUAUCCCGAGAAAGAAGUUCACUUCAAGAUGGUCUGAAGAGAUAGAUUACCCUCCAGAAGAGAAAGAAGCAUAUUUUGAAGAGAGGGGAAUUGAGUAUUCUGCUGUAGACCUCUCCAGGGAGAAAGCUGAGUAUGAUGAUGAUACUAGAGAGGACUAUGCAGACCCUCUCUAUCAUUCAUUUUCUUCUUGAUAAGUGUGAGGAGUCAAGCUAGAGACUUUAAACAAGCUCACUUGGGAGGAAGUCCCAUGAUUAUCCUUGUAAAUAAUUUUUACUUUCUUGUUAUUUUUGAUAUGUUUUAGUUGUGUUUGUGGUUCUCAGGAAUAGAGGAAUAACGUGAAGCUAGAGUAAAAAAGCAAAACUUUUACUCUACAGAUGGCCUAGAGAUCGAGUACAUUCGUCGAGUAUGAGUGAUGUUUAAAACCUAAAAAAAUUUUAAAUCAUCAUUUAACUCGACCAACAAAAGCUACAUAGUCUUCCAGGGAGUUUAUCAAGUUUACAGAAGAUUGCGUGAUUUCCUGGAGUUUUUCUAGUGAACAAAGAAUACAGAGAAGAGACAAGAAGACAUUGUGGGACCCGUCGCUGAAGCCCAUGUCCUCCAUGCAACAGACCAAAGGACAAGAAAUCUCUCCUCAUCUUUUCUCCUCCACUCGACGUCAACCCCAUCACUCUACCCCCAUCCCUCUUCACUCGACCUCUUUCAAACCGCUUCACCAUCUCUCUCCUCUCAAGGUGACUCGAUCGCCAAGCACAACCAAGGAAUCACUCGACCGCGAGUUCACCAAACCGAAAAAAAAAC
This 5100-nucleotide small RNA is filed under the name Arabidopsis thaliana (thale cress). Its description in RNAcentral is "ATSL033230". The record is from RNAcentral. Lineage: Eukaryota; Viridiplantae; Streptophyta; Magnoliopsida; Brassicales; Brassicaceae.